RNAcentral lists this ribosomal RNA (252 nucleotides) under uncultured bacterium. RNAcentral's name for it is "partial 16S ribosomal RNA". It matches the Rfam family "Bacterial small subunit ribosomal RNA", at positions 57 to 305 of the family's 1533-position model. The record is from RNAcentral.
GCAAGUCGAGCGGCAGCACAAGUGAGUUUACUCAUGAGGUGGCGAGCGGCGGACGGGUGAGUAAUGCCUAGGGAUCUGCCCAGUCGAGGGGGAUAACAGUUGGAAACGACUGCUAAUACCGCAUACGCCCUACGGGGGAAAGAGGGGGACCUUCGGGCCUCUCGCGAUUGGAUGAACCUAGGUGGGAUUAGCUAGUUGGUGAGGUAAUGGCUCACCAAGGCGACGAUCCCUAGCUGUUCUGAGAGGAUGAUC